UUUUAUUUGGAGAUACACCGCGGCCUGCUCAAGCCGAAGAUCUUUAUGAAAUUCUUGAUUCCUUUACUGAAAAGUAUGAAAAUGAAGGACAACGAAUCAAUGCAAGAAAAGCAGCAAGGGAGCAGAGGAAGUCUUCUGCUAAAGAAUUACCUCCAAAGCCAUUGUCAAGACCACAGCAGUCAUCUGCACCAGUCCAGCUGAACUCUGGCUCUCAAAGUAACAGAAAUGAAUAUAAGCUCUAUCCUGGACUUUCCAGCUAUCAUGAGAGACUGUGAAGGCAUUAACCUCUUACCAAGGAUUUCCUCAUGUUUGCUUACCAUCGCUGCAGAGAAAAGUCACAGUUACAUGGCCCCAGGGCCCGAGCCUUAAAUUGAAAACCUGAUGAAGCAGGACACUGAGUCCUCCACGUGCGAGCUCCUGAAUCUGUCUCAGCCCCACGGAGGGGCUGCUGGGUGUGAUGAUCAGCUACAUCACCUGUACUUUCCUCCCACCAUCUUUUGGCUUUGCCCUUUGGAAGGUCCAGCUGUGUAGUUCUUGGGCCUCUGAGAGAGACAAGGCUUGCAAAUGCACAGUCCAAUUUUCUGAUCUUCCCUCUAGGGACUCUGGAAGGAAUGGUUUCAUAAUCAAAAGCUUGGACCCUCCAGCGUCAGCAUUCUUCCCCGUCCUCUUACCCAUCCCAUAGUUGUCUGGGAUGGGGUUUCUCAACCUGGGCACUACACACAAUUUAGGCUGGAUAACACUUUGUUGUAGGGGCUAUCUUGUGCCUCAUAGGGUGCUUAGCAAAGGCUGUGUUCUCCUAGUUGUGACCUUCCCAAGGCUGUGAUUUUUUUCCUGAAACAGUCAGGCCAGGGGUGCUGGCUGCA
Molecule: long non-coding RNA, 863 nt
Filed under: Homo sapiens (human)
Lineage: Eukaryota; Metazoa; Chordata; Mammalia; Primates; Hominidae
Description: non-protein coding lnc-SH3YL1-1:16
Source: RNAcentral